This 440-nucleotide ribosomal RNA is filed under the name uncultured bacterium. Its description in RNAcentral is "partial 16S ribosomal RNA". It matches the Rfam family "Bacterial small subunit ribosomal RNA", at positions 338 to 795 of the family's 1533-position model. The record is from RNAcentral.
CCUACGGGAGGCAGCAGUGGGGAAUAUUGCACAAUGGGGGAAACCCUGAUGCAGCGACGCCGCGUGAGUGAAGAAGUAGUUCGGUAUGUAAAGCUCUAUCAGCAGGGAAGAAAAUGACGGUACCUGAUUAAGAAGCCCCGGCUAACUACGUGCCAGCAGCCGCGGUAAUACGUAGGGGGCAAGCGUUAUCCGGAUUUACUGGGUGUAAAGGGAGCGUAGACGGCAGCACCAGUCUGGAGUGAAAUGCCGGGGCUUAAACCCGGAACUGCUUUGGAAACUGUGCAGCUGGAGUGCAGGGGAGGGAAGGGGAAUUCGCGGUGUAGCGGUGAAAUGCGGAGAUAUCAGGAGGAACCCCAGUGGCGAAGGCGGCUUACUGGACUGGAACUGACGUUGAGGCUCGAAAGCGCGGGGAGCAAACAGGAUUAGAUACCCUAGUAGUC